AAAGAUCUGCAUUAGAGGAAAAAAUAGCUGUAUUUAGAAUAAAUAAGCCAACAGGUUGAAAAACACAAUUUGCUGAUUAUUGGUGGACAGUAUACUAUUGAAUGGAGGAAAGUAAUUAAUAAAUAUUAUAUAUUUGUAGUAUCUGUUA
This is a non-coding RNA of Callorhinus ursinus (northern fur seal), 148 nucleotides long. NCBI's taxonomy places the organism in Eukaryota, Metazoa, Chordata, Mammalia, Carnivora, Otariidae. The record is from RefSeq and is a predicted model, not a curated record.